Molecule: ribosomal RNA, 771 nt
Filed under: uncultured Neocallimastigales
Lineage: Eukaryota; Fungi; Neocallimastigomycota; Neocallimastigomycetes; Neocallimastigales
Description: partial large subunit ribosomal RNA
Rfam family: Eukaryotic large subunit ribosomal RNA
Source: RNAcentral
GUACACGCUGUGACUAGCAUAUCAAUAAGCGGAGGAAAAGAAACUAACAAGGAUUCCCUCAGUAACGGCGAGUGAAGCGGGAAGAGCUCAAAUUUGAAAUCUUGAAAGGUCACCUUUCACGAAUUGUAGUUUAAAGAAGUGUUUUCUGUUACGAUCGUAAUAUAGGUUCUUUGGAAUAGGACAUCACAGAGGGUGAGAAUCCCGUCUAUGAUUGCGAUUUGUAGCUUUGUGAUACACUUUCAAAGAGUCGGGUUGUUUGGGAAUGCAGCCCAAAACGGGAGGUAAAUUUCUUCUAAGGCUAAAUAUUGGCGAGAGACCGAUAGCGAACAAGUACCGUGAGGGAAAGAUGAAAAGAACUUUGAAAAGAGAGUUAAAUAGUACGUGAAAUUGUCAAAAGGGAAGCGUUUAACACCAGUGUUGUUUUCUGAAAAUCAACCUCUGUUAGCUUUAUGCAUGUUUGUUUAGACCUAAUCAGCUAUCUUGCAUGUUCUAUUGUUUGCAGUGGUGCACUUUUCAGUUUACAGGUCAACAUCAGUUUUUUUUACCGUAAAAAAGUUAAAGAAAGGUAGCUCAUGGCUCCGGUCGUGAGUGUUAUAGUCUUUUUCCUAUGCGGUAGGAGAGACUGAGGUCUGCAGUGUAGGCUAUUUGGCUAGAUACUCAGGUGCUAUGUGAUACCAUUUCAUAAACAACUUGUUGAUUAUGUUUUGUCUAUUGCAUACUCGCUUGUACUAUCAUACCUACGCUUAGGAUGUUGAACUACUGAGACAUAGA